GUGCACGCUGGCGGUAGGCCUAACCCAUGCCCGUCGCACGGCAGCACAGUAAGAGCUUGCUCUUACGGGUGGCGAGUGGCGGACGGGUGAGGAAUACAUCGGAAUCUACUUUUUCGUGGGGGCUAACGUAGGGAAACUUACGCUAAUACCGCAUACGACCUACGGGUGAAAGCAGGGGAUCUUCGGACCUUGCGCGAUUGAAUGAGCCGAUGUCGGAUUAGCUAGUUGGCGGGGUAAAGGCCCACCAAGGCGACGAUCCGUAGCUGGUCUGAGAGGAUGAUCAGCCACACUGGAACUGAGACACGGUCCAGACUACUACGGGAGGCAGCAGUGGGGAAUAUUGGACAAUGGGCGCAAGCCUGAUCCAGCCAUACCGCGUGGGUGAAGAAGGCCUUCGGGUUGUAAAGCCCUUUUGUUGGGAAAGAAAAGCAGCAGGUUAAUACCCCGCUGUUCUGACGGUACCCAAAGAAUAAGCACCGGCUAACUUCGUG
RNAcentral lists this ribosomal RNA (491 nucleotides) under uncultured bacterium. RNAcentral describes it as "partial 16S ribosomal RNA". It matches the Rfam family "Bacterial small subunit ribosomal RNA", at positions 29 to 507 of the family's 1533-position model. The record is from RNAcentral.